This 382-nucleotide ribosomal RNA is filed under the name uncultured eukaryote. RNAcentral's name for it is "partial 18S ribosomal RNA". It matches the Rfam family "Eukaryotic small subunit ribosomal RNA", at positions 592 to 976 of the family's 1831-position model. The record is from RNAcentral.
UGUAAGCGUAUACCAAAGUUGUUGCAGUUAAAACGCUCGUAGUCGGAAUUUGGCAGUUCCGGAUGUGUGCACGUCGUGUGCGCACUUCGCGGGGAUUGCUUUUGUGGUCUUGCGUAGGAUGAGGCACUUUUAUUAGUGAACGUCCUCACGCAACCACUUUUUACUGUGAGAAAAUCAGAGUGCUCAAAGCAGGCAUUUGCCGUGAAUGUAUUAGCAUGGAAUAAUAGAAUAGGACUUGAUUCUAUUUUGUUGGUUUGUUGGGACUGAGUAAUGAUUAAGAGGGACAGUUGGGGGCAUUUGUAUUUCGGUGCUAGAGGUGAAAUUCUUAGAUUACCGAAAGACAAACUGCUGCGAAAGCGUCUGCCAAGGAUGUUUUCAUUGA